RNAcentral lists this unclassified non-coding RNA (588 nucleotides) under Trichoderma sp. TAMA 467. RNAcentral's name for it is "partial contains 18S rRNA, ITS1, 5.8S rRNA, ITS2 and 28S RNA". The stretch from base 218 to 372 matches the Rfam family "5.8S ribosomal RNA". The record is from RNAcentral. Lineage: Eukaryota; Fungi; Ascomycota; Sordariomycetes; Hypocreales; Hypocreaceae.
UCUCCGUUGGUGAACCAGCGGAGGGAUCAUUACCGAGUUUUACAACUCCCAAACCCAAUGUGAACCAUACCAAACUGUUGCCUCGGGCGGGGUCACGCCCCGGGUGCGUCGCAGCCCCGGAACCAGGCGCCCGCCGGAGGGACCAACCAAACUCUUUCUGUAGUCCCCUCGCGGACGUUAUUUCUUACAGCUCUGAGCAAAAUUCAAAAUGAAUCAAAACUUUCAACAACGGAUCUCUUGGUUUCUGGCAUCGAUGAAGAACGCAGCGAAAUGCGAUAAGUAAUGUGAAUUGCAGAAUUCAGUGAAUCAUCGAAUCUUUGAACGCACAUUGCGCCCGCCAGUAUUCUGGCGGGCAUGCCUGUCCGAGCGUCAUUUCAACCCUCGAACCCCUCCGGGGGGUCGGCGUUGGGGAUCGGGAACCCCUAAGACGGGAUCCCGGCCCCGAAAUACAGUGGCGGUCUCGCCGCAGCCUCUCCUGCGCAGUAGUUUGCACAACUCGCACCGGGAGCGCGGCGCGUCCACGUCCGUUAAACACCCAACUUCUGAAAUGUUGACCUCGGAUCAGGUAGGAAUACCCGCUGAACUUAA